GUCCGGAUUGGAGUCUGCAACUCGACUCCAUGAAGUCGGAAUCGCUAGUAAUCGUGGAUCAGAAUGCCACGGUGAAUACGUUCCCGGGCCUUGUACACACCGCCCGUCACACCAUGGGAGUGGGUUGCAAAAGAAGUAGGUAGCUUAACCUUCGGGAGGGCGCUUACCACUUUGUGAUUCAUGACUGGGGUGAAGUCGUAACAAGGUAACCGUAGGGGAACCUGCGGUUGGAUCACCUCCUUACCUGAAAGAAGC
RNAcentral lists this ribosomal RNA (255 nucleotides) under Salmonella enterica subsp. enterica serovar Infantis. Its description in RNAcentral is "partial 16S ribosomal RNA". It matches the Rfam family "Bacterial small subunit ribosomal RNA", at positions 1291 to 1533 of the family's 1533-position model. Lineage: Bacteria; Pseudomonadati; Pseudomonadota; Gammaproteobacteria; Enterobacterales; Enterobacteriaceae. The record is from RNAcentral.